This 245-nucleotide ribosomal RNA is filed under the name uncultured bacterium. Its description in RNAcentral is "partial 16S ribosomal RNA". It matches the Rfam family "Bacterial small subunit ribosomal RNA", at positions 524 to 767 of the family's 1533-position model. The record is from RNAcentral.
UACAGAGGGUGCAAACGUUGUUCGGUGUCAUUGGGCUUAAAGGGUGCGUAGGCGGUCGGGCAAGUUGGGUGUGAAAUCCCCUGGCUUAACCAGGGAAUUGCGUCCAAUACUACCAGACUCGAGGACCAAAGGGGAGAGCGGAACUCCAGGUGUAGCGGUAAAAUGCGUAGAUAUCUGGGGGAACGCCGAUGGUGAAGACAGCUCUCUAGGUGGUUCCUGACGCUGAGUGCACGAAAGCUGGGGGA